UGGAUCCAGACUUUGAUCAUGGCUCAGGAUGAACGCUAGCUACAGGCUUAACACAUGCAAGUCGAGGGGCAGCAUGAACUUAGCUUGCUGAGUUUGAUGGCGACCGGCGCACGGGUGAGUAACACGUAUCCAACCUUCCGUUUACUCAGGGAUAGCCUUUCGAAAGAAAGAUUAAUACCUGAUAGUAUGGUGAGAUUGCAUGAUAGCACCAUUAAAGAUUUAUUGGUAAACGAUGGGGAUGCGUUCCAUUAGGUAGUAGGCGGGGUAACGGCCCACCUAGCCGACGAUGGAUAGGGGUUCUGAGAGGAAGGUCCCCCACAUUGGAACUGAGACACGGUCCAAACUCCUACGGGAGGCAGCAGUGAGGAAUAUUGGUCAAUGGGCGAGAGCCUGAACCAGCCAAGUAGCGUGAAGGAUGAAGGUCCUACGGAUUGUAAACUUCUUUUAUACGGGAAUAAAGUAUCCUACGUGUAGGAUUUUGUAUGUACCGUAUGAAUAAGCAUCGGCUAACUCCGUGCCAGCAGCCGCGGUAAUACGGAGGAUGCGAGCGUUAUCCGGAUUUAUUGGGUUUAAAGGGAGCGCAGACGGGAGAUUAAGUCAGUUGUGAAAGUUUGCGGCUCAACCGUAAAAUUGCAGUUGAUACUGGUUUCCUUGAGUGCAGUUGAGGCAGGCGGAAUUCGUGGUGUAGCGGUGAAAUGCUUAGAUAUCACGAAGAACCCCGAUUGCGAAGGCAGCUUGCUAAACUGUAACUGACGUUCAUGCUCGAAAGUGUGGGUAUCAAACAGGAUUAGAUACCCUGGUAGUCCACACGGUAAACGAUGGAUACUCGCUGUUGGCGAUAUACUGUCAGCGGCCAAGCGAAAGCAUUAAGUAUCCCACCUGGGGAGUACGCCGGCAACGGUGCAACUCAAAUGAAUUGACGGA
This 924-nucleotide ribosomal RNA is filed under the name uncultured Bacteroidota bacterium. RNAcentral describes it as "bacterial SSU rRNA". It matches the Rfam family "Bacterial small subunit ribosomal RNA", at positions 1 to 917 of the family's 1533-position model. The record is from RNAcentral. Lineage: Bacteria; Pseudomonadati; Bacteroidota.